GCCCAGUGCUCUAAAUGUCAACGUGAAGAGAUUCAUCAAAGCGCGGGUAAACGGC
Molecule: ribosomal RNA, 55 nt
Filed under: Ixodes scapularis (black-legged tick)
Lineage: Eukaryota; Metazoa; Arthropoda; Arachnida; Ixodida; Ixodidae
Description: eukaryotic large subunit ribosomal RNA
Source: RNAcentral